UGGUAUAGAUCAAGGCCUUACAGACUAUUU
Molecule: non-coding RNA, 30 nt
Filed under: Rattus norvegicus (Norway rat)
Lineage: Eukaryota; Metazoa; Chordata; Mammalia; Rodentia; Muridae
Source: RNAcentral